Molecule: long non-coding RNA, 903 nt
Organism: Aedes aegypti (yellow fever mosquito)
Lineage: Eukaryota; Metazoa; Arthropoda; Insecta; Diptera; Culicidae
Exons: 3
Source: RefSeq, a predicted model, not a curated record
CUCAAAGCCUACUGCGCGCAACGGUUUCAUGCUCUCGACAAUGUUAUAGAACCCGCCGUGUGAACAAUCGUUGAAUGACUAUAAAAGUGUCACACCUCGAUUGGGACGGCAUCAUUCGGAUAGUUGCAGUUCUGUGUGAGUUGAGCUCUAAAUAGUAGAUAACGAAGCGGGCGGCAGUGAUAACCAAGACAAGUCGAUACAGUGAAUACCAAACCAGAUUACAAUUUCCAUCAUUAAAAAUGCCGUGCAAGUGCUGUGGUAAUGAUUGCAAGUGCAACGCCAGUUGCGGACAAGGCAAACCGUGUGGCACCGAAUGCAACUGCAACUGUGCCAUCAAGAAGGAAACCGGUAAGGAUUGCUGCGAGUCGGGAAGCUGCAAGAAGUAGAUUCUGACGAGGGGUAUCAUUGCAUACGGAAUAAGAUUUGUGUAACAUUUGAUAAUGUAACCAUCGUUCAUAAAGCAACAAUAAAGAUGAAUUAUUGACUAAGAGAUAUUGAAGAUUAUAUCAUAAUUUAAGUUAUUCUAAUGAUUUUCUAAUUCCAUAAACAAGGUUCACGAAAAAUUAUACGUUUUGAACCUUUUUUGCUUUCUAUGGACUUAACAAUAGGGAUUCCUGGUGAAGAUUUCUGGAGGAUAUUUGUAGAGACAUGUGGGUGACUUGGAAACAUCUGUCAGAAUACCGUGUGAAACGGGAUGAAAAGGAAAAGUGAGGCAAAUAGAAACAAAGCGACUUACAGUUAGAUAUGCUUCUAUUAGGGUGACGGUGCCAUUAGUGGACUAGCUAAGCUAUAAAAAAAUCAUAACUAAAUAACGGAAAGCCUUACCAGAUAUCUUUUGGCGUCAACAGAAAGAUUUCAACCUCUACUAUAUGGGAAAAAUAUAAAAGGAGUGAUAAAACUAAU